CUAUAUAGACCAGCAUGGCCUCAAACUUAAGAGACCUGCCUGCCUCUGCCUUCUGAGCGCUGGGACUAAAGGCGUAGGGCCACUACUGCCCUGCUAGACUCCUAUGCUGGGAUUACUGCCACUCGGCUGUCAUGCCCAGCUUAUGUAUUUUAUUUUUGUUCAUUUACAUACAAUAUCAUGGAUGGAUGUAUAUACUUGUUCUGAAAGAGAUCUGUAGCUGGAUGACCCAUCCUAACCUCGGUGUUACACAGAACUGAUACUAUCAUUGGGAGUGGGGUGGGGGAGGGGUGUCUUGAUAAACUGAUACACCAGGAAAGAGAAAGGGGAAGUCACCCAGCCAAGGAACCUCCCCUUUCCUGCCUGCCUGGGAUUUGUUUGUCUUCCAGGGAGACUGUUCCCUGCUGAUAUGGGGGUCUGUGGAGUGUCUAGCUUUGAUUGGCAUCUUUAGUACAGAGGAAGUGAGGAGCCCCCUUCACGUUCAGCUAUUUCCCUCUGGACCAGCAGACUGGAGCCCCUAAUAGAUUCAGUUUCUGGCGCCACUGCUCUGCAAUUUCCCUUUUACAGUGGAGGCUCCCGAUGGCCAGAAAGGAAGCACAGCUCAUUAGCUGUCCAGCUGACCAGAGCUACUACCCUGGCGGGGCUGUGCCAAAGGGACGGAGGACUAACCCAGAUGAAAGUACACUUAGAACGUGCCCAUCCCAGAAGGAACACAUGAUGUUCCAUUUCUAAUCACUGGUUUGAACAAAAUCUUGCUUUGUGAAGGGGAUGAGGGUGUACCGAUUGGGGAGCUCUCCCCGGCUUCAUUGGGGCUGGUAGUCAGAGACAGGACAUGUUAAAACCAAUAUGAUUAUACUGAAAUACAAGCCAAUUAAAGAGGAUUUGAGAAAAUGGUCAA
This is a long non-coding RNA of Rattus norvegicus (Norway rat), 895 nucleotides long. RefSeq lists it as uncharacterized. Lineage: Eukaryota; Metazoa; Chordata; Mammalia; Rodentia; Muridae. The record is from RefSeq and is a predicted model, not a curated record.